CAGCAGCCGCGGUAAUACGUAGGUGGCAAGCGUUGUCCGGAAUUAUUGGGCGUAAAGGGCUCGCAGGCGGUUUCUUAAGUCUGAUGUGAAAGCCCCCGGCUCAACCGGGGAGGGUCAUUGGAAACUGGGAAACUUGAGUGCAGAAGAGGAGAGUGGAAUUCCACGUGUAGCGGUGAAAUGCGUAGAGAUGUGGAGGAACACCAGUGGCGAAGGCGACUCUCUGGUCUGUAACUGACGCUGAGGAGCGAAAGCGUAGGGAGCGAACAGGAUUAGAUACCCCAGUAGUCCCUGUCUCUUAUAC
Molecule: ribosomal RNA, 301 nt
Filed under: uncultured bacterium
Lineage: Bacteria
Description: partial 16S ribosomal RNA
Rfam family: Bacterial small subunit ribosomal RNA
Source: RNAcentral